UGGGGAAUAUUGCACAAUGGGCGCAAGCCUGAUGCAGCCAUGCCGCGUGUAUGAAGAAGGCCUUCGGGUUGUAAAGUACUUUCAGCGGGGAGGAAGGUGUUGUGGUUAAUAACCACAGCAAUUGACGUUACCCGCAGAAGAAGCACCGGCUAACUCAGUGCCAGCAGCCGCGGUAAUACGGAGGGUGCAAGCGUUAAUCGGAAUUACUGGGCGUAAAGCGCACGCAGGCGGUCUGUCAAGUCGGAUGUGAAAUCCCCGGGCUCAACCUGGGAACUGCAUCCGAAACUGGCAGGCUUGAGUCUUGUAGAGGGGGGUAGAAUUCCAGGUGUAGCGGUGAAAUGCGUAGAGAUCUGGAGGAAUACCGGUGGCGAAGGCGGCCCCCUGGACAAAGACUGACGCUCAGGUGCGAAAGCGUGGGGAGCAAACA
Molecule: ribosomal RNA, 427 nt
Filed under: uncultured bacterium
Lineage: Bacteria
Description: partial 16S ribosomal RNA
Rfam family: Bacterial small subunit ribosomal RNA
Source: RNAcentral